Molecule: long non-coding RNA, 2591 nt
Filed under: Homo sapiens (human)
Lineage: Eukaryota; Metazoa; Chordata; Mammalia; Primates; Hominidae
Description: non-protein coding lnc-DNAJB6-7:4
Source: RNAcentral
CAACAUGCAGGCAGCAUGGCCCUGAGUCACCACGUGGAGACAAGCCUCAAGAGGACUCCACUUCCCAGUGGACGUUGCACGAGCAAGCAGGAAACCUCUUCUGUGAGCCCCUGAGGUUCAGGGUUUUUUGUUUUUUUUUAGUACCAUGGCUACUGUGACGUAUCCUGACUAAUGCCGACAGCACAGGGAGCCUUUGCCUGCCGGAGGAAGCGGUGAGGAAGAGGUGGUGCGUCGUGCACUUCCUGUUGCUGUUUUAGGACAGCUUGGGCUGAGGAGGGGAUGUUGACCUGCAGAUGACAUCACGGCGGCCACACACGUGCCUGGGGCUGCUGGAGAUGCUGGUUGGGGAGGAGUUUGGCCUUCUGAGGAGGAAGUCCCAGAGCAGACUUUGGCUCAACUCUAAGCUCUGAGAUUUUUAGGAAGCGAAGGGGCAGAAGAAGCGACUCACAAGCUCCUGGAGCCGUGUUGGGAGGGGCCCUCGGGGCCCCUGGAGUGGAGAGACACACCCAGAGGCUUUCCAGCCACCCAGGGAGGAGGCGCGGUGGCUGGGAUUUGGAGACAGCUGUGGAGGUGGGUGCAGGAGGCCGGGUUCUCUGUAUUUCCAGACUAGAGGCAGCGGCAGCUAUUGGUGUGGGGUGGGAGGGGAGAGCAGCUGGGACAUAGAAACAUUCCGAACCUAUGAUAAGCUCCCUGCUUCCAAACCCUUAAAUGUCCUUAAUCUGUAAGAAAGAACACUCCUGACCAAAAUUGGCCAGGAGGCCCUCUCAGGUUUAUUCUCUGAAAUAAACCUGUCCUUGACUGUGGAGCUGCUUUCCCGUUUCUUUCCUCUUUCUUUAACUCUUACAGAGAGCAGCUGGAAUGGCCCCACAGGCUACAGCCCGUGUCGGUGUGGGAUGCGAGGGAGAGGAGCCAGGAUGGCCCCACAUGCUUUCCUUGGCUGCCUGGGCGGGUGCAGCAGCCACCUGAGAGGGCCGUCUGAGGACACGAGGCGGCAUCAGCCUCAUGAGAUCUGGGAUGUGCACGGGACGUCCAUGAAGCCGUCGGAGAUGUGUGUCUGGGCAGGGUGCUGACAGGGAGGGUGGGUUUCUGUGGCAUUUGGGUUUGGGGGAUGAAGCCGUGCAGGGGUGUGAGGCCUGAGGGUUGCAGCAGAUGCCUGUGUCCACAUCUGGACAGCAUUGCUGGCUAACGCCAACCCCACCUGGCUUGGGAACAGGCUUGAAUGUGUGGUCUGUCCUGGGCAAAGAGUAAGUUCCUAGAAAAUCCCAGCAGUCACUGGGAAGUCUGAUGACUUCCUGAGCCGAGCUCUUGGUGUGAUGUGAUCCCAUCGGUGGUGUUACUUCUGGUUUUUGUCUUGUUCACAAUAGGAUUUGGAGUAGUUUACAAAGGUUAACAAAGUUCAGGGAGUCAGGGAAGGGAAAAUUAAGAAAAAGCCCACAGGACAGAGUGGAGCAUGUGGCAAGGUCAGCGGCCGCGUGGACGUCUCCGAUUGUGCUGGCUGUGCUGCUGUGGCCGCGGUGGGGCAGAAGGCCAGACGUCCUCACUUCCCCCAACCCCAGUCCAGUUGUACAUGUUGUGCACUGCACAAGGGCCCUGGCAGAGGACCAAGUUGGAGUUGAAAUCCAGCCAUGGCAUGGCCCUGUGGGCUGCACACAGCAUAUGGAGGCUGCACUGGUCAGCAGCUGCUCAGCCUGAGAGAGAUCCUGGAGCCCCAUGUGGCAUCUCUGGGUCUGAAUUCUCUCUUGACACAAAGAGGACACCUCCUUGGUCGUUGCUAAGGAAUUUGAACAGAGGAGGGCCCUGCAAGUUCCCAGCGCCAUGCACUGUGCAGCCGAGCCCAACACCCGGAAGCUGCUGUCAGCUGGUCCCUCGGACACUACUGUGGGCUGGUUUGACCUCUUGGGCCCUCACUGCUCAGAGCUGCAAGGUGGCUUCAUCACUUUCUUCUGUGCAGUCCCAGCCUUCCAGAUGGUCAGAGACUGCUGGUGCCUCCCUCCACCAUCCCGUUGCUGUCCCCCAGGGCCUCAUCUCUGGGACUUCUCUACCCUACCAUCCCUCACAUUGACACAAAUGUGUACACAGAAGCACACAUGCACACACACAUACAUGCAUGUGCACAGAUGAACACACAGACACACACGCACACACAUGCACAUGCAUGCAAAGACAUGCACACAUGCAUGCACACACACACAUGCACAUGCACAGAUGAACACACAGACACACACACGCACAUGCAUGCACACAGACACACAUGCAUAUACAUGCACAGAGAUGCACACAUAUACACACAGACAUGCACACACACAUGCUACAGCAUGUGCACACAGACACACACACCCUGCACACCCCAAGCCUCGUCUGCUGUCUCUGCUGUGCCUGCUUCCCUUAGCCCCUGAUACCACCUUCCCCAGGUCUCCCAACUGCCCUGCCUGGACACAGAGAGGGGUCCUGUGAAGUCAGGCCUUGAAGGAGUGGGCGUCUCUCAGCCCCUCUGGAAGCCUCGCACCAGGACUGUCCCCUCUCCCGCAGAGCAUUCAGGACCAGCAGCCCUCAGCCCUGCAGUCUCCAGACCUGGUUCUGGGGAGCUUGGG